GCUGUACGUAGGAUGCCUCGUUCUUCUUGUUCACAAUCCCUGUAACAUUAAAUGAACCCAUGCUUCUAUACCUGGGUCUGCGGCACAGCAUCGGUAGAAAAAGUAGAGGUUCACUGAAAUGCAGAUGUACGGCAGGAAAAUAAAGGGCCGGCUUAUUUCCAGCUCCAGGCAGUAGCCGAGCACUUCCCAACUGUAUUCGGCAAACACCAGGAUGUCUAAAAUCAAGUGCAGGAUGACAAAGGCUCCAUUCCUGUUGGGGAAACAAUAUCUGUAACCUUGUUAUGAGCUGAAGGGGACUGAUCAAAGGCUGGACCAAAAAGGGGGGAGCUUGAACUGAAAAAAAUGACAACCCCCAUCCUAAACUAAACCAGGUCUGGCCUCACUCCCACUGUAUACCGACUGGAGAAACAGCAGAUGACUCUUGCCAGUUGGGCAAAAAAACACCAGGUGGCGCUGUUACAAAAUGUAUUAUAUUAGCAAUUUAUAAUUGUCCAAAAUUGUAUCUUGGAAACAAAAGAAAAAAAAUAAUCAAUGUAAAUUGCAGAUGUUUCCAUCAAGGUUUUUUCUGGGUUUUUUGUUUUUUUUUUUUUUUUUUUAAAUGGCCUGGGUCUGGUUGUACUUGUUAAAGUUAUGGUUAAGCUUCUCUUGUCUGGCAUGUAUUGAUUAAAGCAAGUUAUACACCA
Molecule: long non-coding RNA, 683 nt
Organism: Xenopus tropicalis (tropical clawed frog)
Lineage: Eukaryota; Metazoa; Chordata; Amphibia; Anura; Pipidae
Exons: 2
Source: RefSeq, a predicted model, not a curated record